This is a non-coding RNA of Hordeum vulgare subsp. vulgare (domesticated barley), 54 nucleotides long. The record is from Rfam. NCBI's taxonomy places the organism in Eukaryota, Viridiplantae, Streptophyta, Magnoliopsida, Poales, Poaceae.
CGGACUGUAAAUUCGUUGACAAUGUCUACGCUGGUUCAAAUCCAGCUCGGCCCA